AUGCAAGGCGCCAUCUUAGCCUUGCCUUCCCAUGAUCGCUCCCACACCUGUCACGUUCGUGAUCGGCCUCCUCAACUAUGUAUCGAUCGAAAGGCAGGGCGGCAGAGCCCCCAACCGACGGGAGUAGUUACGUCCAGUAUGUCCCCCCUCGAUUCCCGACAUGCUAUGAUACCAGGGUGGGUAGGAGCGGGUCGAGUCCGUAUCACCGCGGAACAACUGCAGCGUCCGGAUCCGAUCUAUCUACUCGGCAAUUCAUUCGGUGACUUCAUGGUCGCCAAAGAAGCCCCAAGAAGCAUCAAACAUUUCCGAUGA
This 312-nucleotide ribosomal RNA is filed under the name Triticum aestivum (bread wheat). Its description in RNAcentral is "partial small subunit ribosomal RNA". The record is from RNAcentral. Lineage: Eukaryota; Viridiplantae; Streptophyta; Magnoliopsida; Poales; Poaceae.